Molecule: unclassified non-coding RNA, 329 nt
Filed under: soil metagenome
Description: partial contains 5.8S ribosomal RNA, internal transcribed spacer 2, and large subunit ribosomal RNA
Rfam family: 5.8S ribosomal RNA (bases 1-120)
Source: RNAcentral
GAUGAAGAACGUAGCGAAAUGCGAUAAGUAGUGUGAAUUGCAGAAUUCAGUGAAUCAUCGAAUCUUUGAACGCACAUCGCGCCCCUUGGUAUCCCGAGGGGCAUGCCUGUUCGAGCGUCAUUUCACCACUCAAGCCUGGCUUGGUGUUGGGCGACGUCCUCUUUGGGGACGCGCCUCGAAACGCUCGGCGGCGUGGCACCGGCUUUAAGCGUAGCAGAAUCUUUCGCUUUGGAAGUCGGGGCCCCGUCUGCCGGAAGACCUGCUCGCAAGGUUGACCUCGGAUCAGGCAGGGAUACCCGCUGAACUUAAGCAUAUCAAUAAGCGGAGGA